GUAACGACUUGUUCCCGCCAACGCGGGACGGAGUUAGAAAAUGCGACGUUAUUAUUUUCUAGCUAAUACGCCGACCUCCUAAUUCGUUUAAAGCGAAUGGAGGAAGAUAUAGUCUACACACAUAGUGAUAUGUGA
RNAcentral lists this non-coding RNA (135 nucleotides) under Candidatus Giovannonibacteria bacterium GW2011_GWB1_47_6b. Lineage: Bacteria; Candidatus Giovannoniibacteriota. RNAcentral also lists the same sequence under 1 other name. The record is from RNAcentral.